AACAACGAACUGUGAGAAGUCAGCAGAGCCCAUAGUAGUGAAGAAGUUUCCGUAAUGGAAAUGGAGCAAAGG
RNAcentral lists this non-coding RNA (72 nucleotides) under Eisenbergiella massiliensis. RNAcentral also lists the same sequence under 1 other name. The record is from RNAcentral. Lineage: Bacteria; Bacillati; Bacillota; Clostridia; Lachnospirales; Lachnospiraceae.